RNAcentral lists this microRNA precursor (56 nucleotides) under Pteropus alecto (black flying fox). RNAcentral describes it as "microRNA pal-mir-665 precursor". Its record names the gene pal-mir-665. It matches the Rfam family "mir-665 microRNA precursor family", at positions 9 to 64 of the family's 72-position model. Lineage: Eukaryota; Metazoa; Chordata; Mammalia; Chiroptera; Pteropodidae. The record is from miRBase by way of RNAcentral.
AGGGGUCUUAGCCUCUACCCAGGCCUCUGUCAUGACCAGGAGGCUGAGGCCCUUCA